This 21-nucleotide non-coding RNA is filed under the name Caenorhabditis elegans. Lineage: Eukaryota; Metazoa; Nematoda; Chromadorea; Rhabditida; Rhabditidae. The record is from RNAcentral.
UGUAAUGCAGCUCGUGCGAUU